Long non-coding RNA from Myotis brandtii (Brandt's bat), 972 nucleotides. RefSeq lists it as uncharacterized. The record is from RefSeq and is a predicted model, not a curated record. NCBI's taxonomy places the organism in Eukaryota, Metazoa, Chordata, Mammalia, Chiroptera, Vespertilionidae. The transcript is spliced from 3 exons.
AACCUGACACCCUUCACUCUGCAGGCCGACACUCUAUCCACUGAGCCAAACCGGUUAGGGCUCUUAAGAAUUUUUGAUGUUCCAUGAAACUCAGGUCGGUGAUAUAUGUUGCAAAUAUUUCCUCCAGCCAAUUACCUUUUAAUUUUGCUUACAGUGUAUUUUGAUAUUUGUGUAGUCACAUUUAUUGCUUUUCCCCCUUAUGGUUUGUGCCUGGGAGGAAACCAUAAGACAAAAUUGGUUUUUCCGUAAUAGGGGCAGUGCCCAUUUCCAAGCAGACCGUUUCGUUCCAGCGUUGUAGGGGUGGGUAGGGCAAGGCUUUUCCUUCACGUCACCACCCCUGCCUCCAUCUGCUGUUAGAUUGCCCAGCCUCAGUUUCAUCGGUCCUGUGUUCCUACAACCUUAGUCGUUUUUCCAGCCUUCUCUUCUGCCUUUGAAAGGGGUGCUUCCAUCUCAGAUGGAAGGAAGAGAGGCCUUGGGGGUACAAAGUUGAAGAACUGCCUUUUAGUUCCUGGAUUUAGAGCUUACCUGAGAUCCAGGAUGAUUUCACCUCAAGAUCCUCAACUCGUUUCAUCUGCAAAGACCCUGUUUGCAAAUGAGGUCACAUUUUGAGGUUUUGGGUAAACAUGAAUUUUUUUUGUGGGGACACUAUUAAACUCACUGCAGUUACUGUGGUGGUCACUACUGUUGUUCUACAUAAUGAAAAUAUGCCUUUAUUUCUGGUUUUAUAUUACUCAUGAAGUUAGGUAAAUCAAAACAUAGCAUCUGGUUUCAUUAUUCAUGAGAUCAUCUGAGGAGCUCUGUGAAGCUUGGAGCCAGUACCUCAUGCUUUACAUUCAAAUGAGGCCAAAUCCUCCUUUCAUAAUGUACACAUAUAUCAGAUCAUGCUGAUGUACAGUUUAAAUAUCUUAAAGUUUUGUCAAUUAUCUAUAUACUAGAGCCUGGUGCACAAAAUUCGUGCACGGGGCGGGGGGU